GAUGAACGCUGGCGGCGUGCCUAAUACAUGCAAGUCGAGCGAACAGACGAGGAGCUUGCUCCUCUGACGUUAGCGGCGGACGGGUGAGUAACACGUGGAUAACCUACCUAUAAGACUGGGAUAACUUCGGGAAACCGGAGCUAAUACCGGAUAAUAUAUUGAACCGCAUGGUUCAAUAGUGAAAGACGGUUUUGCUGUCACUUAUAGAUGGAUCCGCGCCGCAUUAGCUAGUUGGUAAGGUAACGGCUUACCAAGGCAACGAUGCGUAGCCGACCUGAGAGGGUGAUCGGCCACACUGGAACUGGGACACGGUCCAGACUCCUACGGGAGGCAGCAGUAGGGAAUCUUCCGCAAUGGGCGAAAGCCUGACGGAGCAACGCCGCGUGAGUGAUGAAGGUCUUCGGAUCGUAAAACUCUGUUAUUAGGGAAGAACAAAUGUAUAAGUAACUAUGCACGUCUUGACGGUACCUAAUCAGAAAGCCACGGCUAACUACGUG
This 497-nucleotide ribosomal RNA is filed under the name uncultured bacterium. RNAcentral describes it as "partial 16S ribosomal RNA". It matches the Rfam family "Bacterial small subunit ribosomal RNA", at positions 28 to 507 of the family's 1533-position model. The record is from RNAcentral.